RNAcentral lists this ribosomal RNA (407 nucleotides) under uncultured soil bacterium. RNAcentral describes it as "bacterial SSU rRNA". It matches the Rfam family "Bacterial small subunit ribosomal RNA", at positions 26 to 453 of the family's 1533-position model. The record is from RNAcentral.
AGAACGAACGCUGGCGGCAUGCCUAAUACAUGCAAGUCGAACGAACUCUUCGGAGUUAGUGGCGCACGGGUGCGUAACGCGUGGGAAUCUGCCCCUUGGUUCGGAAUAACAGUUGGAAACGACUGCUAAUACCGGAUGAUGACGAAAGUCCAAAGAUUUAUCGCCAAGGGAUGAGCCCGCGUAGGAUUAGCUAGUUGGUGAGGUAAAGGCUCACCAAGGCAACGAUCCUUAGCUGGUCUGAGAGGAUGAUCAGCCACACUGGGACUGAGACACGGCCCAGACUCCGUACGGGAGGCAGCAGUAGGGAAUAUUGGACAAUGGGCCGAAAGCCUGGACUCCGAGCAAUGCCGCGGUUAGAGUGAUGAAGGCCUUUAGGGUGUUAAACGCUUACUUUACCCGAGGUAUAG